UUCUUUGGUUAGGUCUAAGACAGAGAAAAGUUUCUCUAUUUAUAGGAUCCAGGCUUUGGCUACUAAGGGGUCAAGACCUCCUUCAAAGUGGGGUGGGUUAAAUUUUCUAAAUUUUACUAUGUUGUAGGAGAUAGACCUUUCAGCUGGGCAAUAGUUAGGGGCGGGGGGGUGUUGGCAUUGGUUUUCUUGGUUUUGACCUAUAGCUGUAGUUAGACCCUAGAUAGCUUGGAAGAGUUCAAUAAGCUCGACCUUGGUCGGGUGAUCCUAGAACUCCGAUCUUUCUGU
RNAcentral lists this long non-coding RNA (285 nucleotides) under Carica papaya (papaya). RNAcentral's name for it is "long non-coding RNA (CPAP_LNC005314)". The record is from RNAcentral. Lineage: Eukaryota; Viridiplantae; Streptophyta; Magnoliopsida; Brassicales; Caricaceae.